UAAGACAGAGGCCCCGAGCGUUAGGCGGAAUCACUGGGCUUAAAGCGUGUGUAGGCGGGCCCGUAAGUGUCUUGUGAAAUCCCACGGCUCAACCGUGGAACUGCUGGGCAUACUGCGGGUCUUGGGCCAACUAGGGGCAGCCGGAACAAGCGGUGGAGCGGUGAAAUGCGUAGAUAUCGCUUGGAACGCCGAAGGUGAAAACAGGCUGCUGGGGUUGCGCCGACGCUGAGACACGAAAGCCAGGGGAGCAAACGGGAUUAGAUACCCCGGUAGUCCUGGCCCUAAACGAUGUCCACUAGAUCGCGGAGCGGUUUGACCCGCUCGCGGUCGGAGCAAAAGUGUUAAGUGGACCGCCUGGGAAGUACGGUCGCAAGGCUA
RNAcentral lists this ribosomal RNA (378 nucleotides) under uncultured bacterium. RNAcentral's name for it is "bacterial SSU rRNA". It matches the Rfam family "Bacterial small subunit ribosomal RNA", at positions 521 to 896 of the family's 1533-position model. The record is from RNAcentral.